UUGUCCCUCAGAGGACAGGGCUGGCAAUGCUCCCUCUGGAUAUUGAAGGCCAAGCUUGAGUGAAAUUGUGGACACAUUCCUGAAGCAUAGGGCACAUCGAAAUCAAGCACAGCCUAUUCAACAGUGGCAGCCCAUUUCAUUCCUCUGCAAUCUCUCACCUUCAUUCUAAUGUUCUCUUUUUUUCAGUUUAUGGCGAAGUCACAUAUAGCUCAGAAGACUCUUCUGAGAUUGAUGUUGUCACUGUCAGUGACGAUGAGUCUGCUCUGCGUCAGCAAAAGCGCCCUGGAGAGGCGCUUGGUUCCAGUCCAUCUGAGGAACAAAGCAGACUCAUGCCCUCCAGAGCAGGUGAAAGUCUGCAGACAGCGCCAAGAGACCUCGAGGAAAGAGGUUCACCUGCUUUGGAGCCUGUUUAUGGCGAAGUCACAUAUAGCUCAGAAGACUCUUCUGA
Non-coding RNA from Cyanistes caeruleus (blue tit), 448 nucleotides. The record is from RefSeq and is a predicted model, not a curated record. NCBI's taxonomy places the organism in Eukaryota, Metazoa, Chordata, Aves, Passeriformes, Paridae.